Molecule: ribosomal RNA, 189 nt
Filed under: uncultured Bacteroidota bacterium
Lineage: Bacteria; Pseudomonadati; Bacteroidota
Description: uncultured Bacteroidetes bacterium partial 16S ribosomal RNA
Rfam family: Bacterial small subunit ribosomal RNA
Source: RNAcentral
CCUACGGGAGGCAGCAGUAAGGAAUAUUGGUCAAUGGGCGCAUGCCUGAACCAGCCAUGCCGCGUGAAGGAAGACGGCCCUAUGGGUUGUAAACUUCUUUUGUCAGGGAAUAAACGUGGGUACGUGUACCCACCUGAAGGUACCUGAAGAAUAAGCAUCGGCUAACUCCGUGCCAGCAGCCGCGGUAAU